This 425-nucleotide ribosomal RNA is filed under the name uncultured bacterium. RNAcentral's name for it is "partial 16S ribosomal RNA". It matches the Rfam family "Bacterial small subunit ribosomal RNA", at positions 354 to 796 of the family's 1533-position model. The record is from RNAcentral.
GUGGGGAAUCUUGCGCAAUGGGCGAAAGCCUGACGCAGCCAUGCCGCGUGAAUGAUGAAGGUCUUAGGAUUGUAAAAUUCUUUCGCCGGGGACGAUAAUGACGGUACCCGGAGAAGAAGCUCCGGCUAACUUCGUGCCAGCAGCCGCGGUAAUACGAAGGGGGCUAGCGUUGCUCGGAAUUACUGGGCGUAAAGGGCGCGUAGGCGGACAGCUUAGUCAGAGGUGAAAUCCCAGGGCUCAACCUUGGAAUUGCCUUUGAUACUGGCUGUCUUGAGUUUGGGAGAGGUGAGUGGAACUCCGAGUGUAGAGGUGAAAUUCGUAGAUAUUCGGAAGAACACCAGUGGCGAAGGCGACUCACUGGCCCAAUACUGACGCUGAGGCGCGAAAGCGUGGGGAGCAAACAGGAUUAGAUACCCCAGUAGUCC